This 977-nucleotide long non-coding RNA is filed under the name Marmota monax (woodchuck). Lineage: Eukaryota; Metazoa; Chordata; Mammalia; Rodentia; Sciuridae. The record is from RNAcentral.
CCUAGCCUUGCCCACAGGGGAGCCAGAGCAGCAGGCUGUUAGGCCUGGGGAGUGGAGGUCAGGGCUUCAGAGAACCAGGGCAGUGGGCCCUCCCUCCACUCGUCUCCAUUCCUGAGCUGUUUCAGUCAGGACUGAGGGUGAGCAAAGCAGUCUGGGCAGGGAGCCUCAUUGUCCCGACCUCUCCUGACUUGAACUCUCCUUCACCCUGGGACUCUGCAGCCCAGUCCUCCCGGUGACUGGCAGUCCCUCUCUUCCUCCUGCUGGCUAGUGGUAACACACACACACACACACACACACACGCCGCCCUGAUUGAAGGUGCAGCCUGGUGUCUCCCUGAUGAGAGGCUCCUAUCUCUUCCUACGUCCUGUCCUGGGUAGUACAGGUUCGCACCGUCACUUUUCCAGGAGGAGAUGGAGGGAUGAGACAGGCAAAACUCAGGCUGCUGUUGGGCUGCGAGUGUGUUUUUAACUUGCACCAGAAUAUAGAGAUACCCAUGUACUCUGGCCACGUCCCCAGUGCUCACAUGUCAUGGAAAGAUGAUGCCACAUCAAGACCAGGACUCUGGCACGCGCACAGUGAACUCCGCUCCAUUGCUGUACUCUGCAGCCACCGUCGAGAUGAGAGCUGCUCCACCCGCACCGUCACCCCCACACCUGUCCCCCAUUCCUAACCCACUGCAGCCCCUCAUCUCUUCCACGUCUCUAGGACUAGGAUCCUACAGUAUGUGACUUCGUGCUUUCUUUUUUUUUUUAAUUUCUGUUACUGCGGAUUGGACCCACGGGCACUUUACCACUGAGCCACAUCCCCAGCCCUUUUUAUUUUUCUAUUUUGAGACAGGGUAUAAGUUGCUUAGGGUCUUGCUUAAGCUGAAGCUUAGCCUCAAACUUGGGAUCCUCCUGCCUUAGCCUCCUAAGUCAUUGGGAUCACAGGUGUGUGCUACUGUGCCCAGUUGUAAUUUGUGUGUGUGUGUGUGUGGU